Molecule: ribosomal RNA, 253 nt
Filed under: uncultured bacterium
Lineage: Bacteria
Description: partial 16S ribosomal RNA
Rfam family: Bacterial small subunit ribosomal RNA
Source: RNAcentral
UACGGAGGAUGCAAGCGUUAUCCGGAAUGAUUGGGCGUAAAGGGUCCGCAGGUGGUAUUGUAAGUCUGCUGUCAAAGAAUGAGGCUUAACCUCAUAAAGGCAGUGGAAACUACAUAGCUAGAGUACGGUCGGGGUAGAAGGAAUUCCUGGUGUAGCGGUGAAAUGCGUAGAGAUCAGGAAGAACACCGGUGGCGAAAGCGUUCUGCUAGACCUGUACUGACACUGAGGGACGAAAGCUAGGGGAGCGAAUGGG